GACUACUACUUGGAACUGAAUACAUUGCACAAUAAUUGAUCGAUUUGUUUUCCAAAACUGCAACAGAUCUUUCACUGAAGAACCUGUACUUCCACCUAACCCAUGUGUGAGUCAGAGCUAUUGAGGUCUGGGUUUAUGCAAACCAGUAUGAGAGAAUCAGAGCUUGCUGUUAAAAAGUUGAAAUGAAUAAACCCACUGCAACACAAAUGAGGCCACCUCCUGUGAUGCCUCAACUGGGGCCGUUGAGACCAUUGCUGAUGGUGGAGAAGGACCUGACUGAUCAAAUGAUGACUGAAGCAAAAGGUCCAGGACAAGCUACAAUGACCAAGUUUGGUUAGAUUCCACUAGUAAUCCUAAUUUAAAAUGACAACAAUGAAUCUUGGAUAUUCAGAAAGAAGAAGAUAUAAUGAAGUCCAAAAUGCCCCAUUUGUUUUAAGAUGGUACUAAAUGAUGUAGUUUCUCCACUUGAUUACUACUCUUCAAAAGAACCACUAGUUAAAAUCAUCUUAGCAUAACUUUAAAAGACUUAAGUCUCAGCUAAAUACAUUAGAGAUCUGACAAGAAAAAAGAAAAGCAAAACACAAGUGCUUUGUGAUUUUCCCUCUCCAUACAUGAUGUUAAGAAAAAGGGUUUAGAACAAAAUAUCAAUAUAAAAUAAAUACAUAAAACAGAUUUGGCACCCAGAAAGGGGAACACUUGUGGCAUUUAAGAAGCUAUUAAGACUACAUGGAAGCUACAAUCUAACAUAUUUUGCCCACUCCCAAUUUAUAGGAUAUCUUUUUUAAGGUCCAAAAAGCAAAAUGAAAUGACUUCUUUCCAACUGAAAUAAAAAUCAAAAAUAGUGGCAACCAUUUUCUGAGAAAGGAAUUUUUUUAAAAACUGUAGAAAUUAUGCAGGGUUAAAAACGACAAUAAAACAUUAACAAGUUAAGUGUACCAGAACGUGUGAGUCA
Long non-coding RNA from Anolis carolinensis (green anole), 952 nucleotides. RefSeq lists it as uncharacterized. The record is from RefSeq and is a predicted model, not a curated record. NCBI's taxonomy places the organism in Eukaryota, Metazoa, Chordata, Lepidosauria, Squamata, Anolidae. The transcript is spliced from 3 exons.